RNAcentral lists this ribosomal RNA (497 nucleotides) under uncultured bacterium. Its description in RNAcentral is "partial 16S ribosomal RNA". It matches the Rfam family "Bacterial small subunit ribosomal RNA", at positions 28 to 507 of the family's 1533-position model. The record is from RNAcentral.
GACGAACGCUGGCGGCGUGCCUAAUACAUGCAAGUCGAACGCUGAAGAGAGGAGCUUACUCUUCUUGGAUGAGUUGCGAACGGGUGAGUAACGCGUAGGUAACCUGCCUUGUAGCGGGGGAUAACUAUUGGAAACGAUAGCUAAUACCGCAUAACAAUGGAUGACACAUGUCAUUUAUUUGAAAGGGGCAAUUGCUCCACUACAAGAUGGACCUGCGUUGUAUUAGCUAGUAGGUGAGGUAAUGGCUCACCUAGGCGACGAUACAUAGCCGACCUGAGAGGGUGAUCGGCCACACUGGGACUGAGACACGGCCCAGACUCCUACGGGAGGCAGCAGUAGGGAAUCUUCGGCAAUGGGGGCAACCCUGACCGAGCAACGCCGCGUGAGUGAAGAAGGUUUUCGGACCGUAAAGCUCUGUUGUAAGUCAAGAACGGGUGUGAGAGUGGAAAGUUCACACUGUGACGGUAGCUUACCAGAAAGGGACGGCUAACUACGUG